This 460-nucleotide ribosomal RNA is filed under the name uncultured bacterium. RNAcentral's name for it is "partial 16S ribosomal RNA". It matches the Rfam family "Bacterial small subunit ribosomal RNA", at positions 338 to 795 of the family's 1533-position model. The record is from RNAcentral.
CCUACGGGUGGCAGCAGUGAGGAAUAUUGGUCAAUGGACGAGAGCCUGAACCAGCCAAGUAGCGUGAAGGAUGACUGCCCUAUGGGUUGUAAACUUCUUUUAUAUGGGAAUAAAACAGGGUAUGCAUACCCUCUUGUAUGUACCAUAUGAAUAAGGAUCGGCUAACUCCGUGCAAGCAGCCGCGGUAAUACGGAGGAUCCGAGCGUUAUCCGGAUUUAUUGGGUGUAAAGGGAGCGUAGGUGGAUUGGUAAGUCAGUUGUCAAAGUUUGCGGCUCAACCGUCAAAAUGCAGUUGAAACUGGCAGUCGUGAGUACAGUAGAGGUGAGCGGAAUUCGUGGUGUAGCGGGGAAAUGCGUAGAUAUCACGAAGAACUCCGGUUGCGAAGGCAGCUCACUGGACUGCAACUGACGCUGAUGCUCGAAAGUGUGGGGAGCAAACAGGAUUAGAUACCCCUGUAGUC